Molecule: ribosomal RNA, 449 nt
Filed under: uncultured bacterium
Lineage: Bacteria
Description: partial 16S ribosomal RNA
Rfam family: Bacterial small subunit ribosomal RNA
Source: RNAcentral
AAUGAACGCUGGCGGCAGGCCUAACACAUGCAAGUCGAACGGAUCCUUCGGGAUUAGUGGCGGACGGGUGAGUAACGCGUGGGAACAUACCCAAAGGUACGGAAUAGCCUCGGGAAACUGGGAGUAAUACCGUAUGUGCUCGAAAGAGGAAAGAUUUAUCGCCUUUGGAUUGGCCCGCGUUGGAUUAGGUAGUUGGUGGGGUAAUGGCCUACCAAGCCGACGAUCCAUAGCUGGUUUGAGAGGAUGAUCAGCCACACUGGGACUGAGACACGGCCCAGACUCCUACGGGAGGCAGCAGUGGGGAAUCUUAGACAAUGGGGGAAACCCUGAUCUAGCCAUGCCGCGUGAUCGGUGAAGGCCUUAGGGUUGUAAAGAUCUUUCAGGUGGGAAGAUAAUGACUGUACCACCAGAAGAAGCCCCGGCUAACUCCGUGCCAGCAGCCGCGGUAA